GACGAACGCUGGCGGCGUGCCUAAUACAUGCAAGUAGAACGCUGAAGAGAGGAGCUUGCUCUUCUUGGAUGAGUUGCGAACGGGUGAGUAACGCGUAGGUAACCUGCCUUGUAGCGGGGGAUAACUAUUGGAAACGAUAGCUAAUACCGCAUAACAAUGGAUGACACAUGUCAUUUAUUUGAAAGGGGCAAUUGCUCCACUACAAGAUGGACCUGCGUUGUAUUAGCUAGUAGGUGAGGUAAUGGCUCACCUAGGCGACGAUACAUAGCCGACCUGAGAGGGUGAGCGGCCACACUGGGACUGAGACACGGCCCAGACUCCUACGGGAGGCAGCAGUAGGGAAUCUUCGGCAAUGGGGGCAACCCUGACCGAGCAACGCCGCGUGAGUGAAGAAGGGUUUCGGAUCGUAAAGCUCUGUUGUAAGUCAAGAACGGGUGUGAGAGUGGAAAGUUCACACUGUGACGGUAGCUUACCAGAAAGGGACGGCUAACUACGUG
RNAcentral lists this ribosomal RNA (497 nucleotides) under uncultured bacterium. RNAcentral describes it as "partial 16S ribosomal RNA". It matches the Rfam family "Bacterial small subunit ribosomal RNA", at positions 28 to 507 of the family's 1533-position model. The record is from RNAcentral.